GAUUUAAAUGUGCGUCUUAACGGAGUCUGUUCAAAGUUUUCCCCUGCAGAUGAAAGAAAAUCACACAAGUAAAUAUUCCAUUCCCUUUUUAAGCACAAGCAAGGCCAAAAAGCAGGACAUCAGCAGGUAGACUCGAGGACUCAGGAAAAAAGAUAACCACCAUCUAUUGCAAGAAGUUAGCUGUGAAGGAAGAGUCUAGAAGGUUAGAAGAUCAAGAACCACAUAAACAUCCAUGAAGAUAGAGCAUCAGAUGAACAAAGUGCUUUUUUUUAUUUUUCCCCACACUUUUUCCUUUACCUUCUGUUGCACUUGAAAUGAAACGGCUGCCACCAUCUCGGGUUUUAGAGGCCUGUAUAUACUGGCAUAAAGCUAUAUAACAAAUAAAAACAACACUGCAUUAUACAUUUCA
Passer domesticus (house sparrow) is the source of this 409-nucleotide long non-coding RNA. RefSeq lists it as uncharacterized. The transcript is spliced from 2 exons. The record is from RefSeq and is a predicted model, not a curated record. Lineage: Eukaryota; Metazoa; Chordata; Aves; Passeriformes; Passeridae.